RNA transcript from Vicia villosa (hairy vetch), 2534 nucleotides. It is a transcript of the gene named CRM-domain containing factor CFM9, mitochondrial, with no coding region annotated. The record is from RefSeq and is a predicted model, not a curated record. The transcript is spliced from 6 exons. Lineage: Eukaryota; Viridiplantae; Streptophyta; Magnoliopsida; Fabales; Fabaceae.
CAAAACCCUGUUUUUGCACUUGCAAAAACCCUCACGCAUCCAUGUCAAACUCAGAAUGAGAAAUUCGAACUCUCUGAUUUGGUGAACCCAAAGAAACAAUGUUUAGUGUUAGAAAUCUUCAGAGACAUUGCUCCUUCAAACCCUUUUCUUCCUUCUUUCAACUUCAACCAAAUCCCUUCAGAAAUGUUGUUGUGCCUUUAGGACAAGGAAUAGAGCAAAGAAACAUUGAUGAUGAUAAAGUUGGUUUUUAUUGUUAUGUUAAACCGAUGAAUCUUUUGAAUGGAUCCUUGUAUCGGACAAUGUCAACGACAAGAGGAAGGAGUAUGCGAAGCAAGGUGGAGAGAAGAAUGCAAAAAGAGUCUGGGAAGACGUUAAGGGAGAUUCGAAGAGCUAAGAAAUUGAAGAAGAAACUUAUGACCGAGGAGGAGCGGCUCGUUUACAAUCUCAAAAGAGCGAAGAAGAAAAUUGCAUUGCUACUACAAAAACUCAAGAAAUAUGACCUGCCAGAGCUGCCUCCUCCACGGCAUGAUCCAGAGCUCUUUACACCUGAACAGCUCCAGGCGUAUAAAAAAAUUGGAUUCAAGAAUAAGAAUUAUGUUCCUGUUGGAGUUCGUGGAGUCUUUGGAGGAGUUGUGCAAAAUAUGCAUCUCCAUUGGAAGUUUCAUGAAACUGUCCAAGUUUGUUGUGACAACUUCCCCAAGGAAAAGAUAAAAGAAAUGGCUUCAAUGCUUGCCAGAUUGAGCGGUGGGAUUGUGCUUAACGUUCAUAAUGUGAAAACAAUCAUUAUGUUCCGUGGUAGAAAUUAUCGGCAACCCAAAAACUUGAUACCAAUUAACACCCUUACAAAGAGGAAGGCCCUAUUCAAGGCCAGAUUUGAGCAAGCUCUUGAAUCUCAGAAGCUAAAUAUCAAGAAAAUUGAACAAGAGCUCCGACGAAUGGGAGUAAAUCCUGAGGAUCCAACCGCAAUGGCCAGCAUCCAAAGAGUUGCUUCCACAUUCUUCAAUGCCAUUGACAAGAAAGAAGGAAGUCCUUAUGUCUUCCGUGGAGAUAAACCGUCGGUUAUAGAACCUAAUGAAGGUUUGGAAGAAUUGGAUCCUUCUGCUGAUAGUGAUCAGGAGGAGCUGGAUCAGUUUAUUGCUGAUAUAGAGGAUGCUGCAGAUAAAGAAUAUGAAGAAGAAGAGGCCAAAGAAAAAGAAGAGUUUGGUAGACUUCGGUAUUGGAAUAGAGAAGAGUAUGGUGGAAGAUUCAGAAGAUCAGAUGAUUCUAGAAAUGACGACUAUGAUGGGGAGGUUAGAGGUUCAAGGGCUCGACAGCCAAUACAUCCCAAGUAUCGGACAAACGAUAGUGACAAUGAAGAAAAUGCUCAUUCUGACAAUGAUGAUGAGGAUGAUGAUGAUGAUGAGUGGCAUUCCGGUAGUAUUGUAGAUGAUAUUGAUAUUGAUAUUGAUAUUGACAACAAUUCUAAUGGAUCCGAUGAAGCUAGAGGUAGGUUCAAGGAAAGUAGGGGGAGAGGAGAAAGGAAAAAUAAUGUUGGUAUUGGCAAGGCUCAAGUUAAUGGAGGUUCCAGCAGACACAGCGAAGCUAAAUUUAUGAGGAAUAUGGCCAUACAAGGUUCUGAAUCAGAAGGUACGCUCAGUGAAGUUGAAAAUGCAAUGUGGGAGUCUGAUGAAGAGGAGAACAGCUCGGUACAUUUGAAACGAGCCAGUAGUGGUAACUACAAGAGCAGCAGCAGCGAUGAUGAUGAACAUAAUGAUCAAUUAAAGAGCAACAAAAAGAACGGUGCGAGGGACCAUAAUAGUUUUAACACACGGAAGAAUGGGAGAGGUAGGCAAGAAGGAAUUGGCAGAACUAAAUCCGAGUCCACAGAUGCGUUAAGCGGUUCGGAAGACUGGACGUGGCAAUCAGAUGGUGAGGAGGAAUCAAGAGCUGAUGUUAAGGACUCCCCCACAAGCCUUAAUAAUCGUAAUAUGGUCAAAAGUGAUAUCCAUAAGAAGAGAUCACCAAAGGGUGCAGAUGAGGCUUGGGACAGUGAUUAGCCCCAAGUAAAUACAAGAUCAUAAUCCAUUGUAGGUUUAGACUUUGUUUGACAAGAAGACAGACAUCUUGAACCGAUAAGAAGCAACAUGCGGCUCUAUCGAAGUGUACUUUCUGAUAGCAUUAUUUGUCUAGAUGCAUACUUUCUGGUGAUAUAAAAUUUGUGUUUUUUAGGAAGUUGCUUAGGGGUGUGAGAAAAUUUUCGCUCAAACAAAGUAUCGGUUGGGUCAAACAAAAUCAUCAAGGGAAGAAGUUGAAUUUAAUCUUGUUGAGAGAGAGAUAGAGAUGUGGAAUUUAUUACUAGCAAAGUACAUGACAUAUUUUGUGAAGUAAAUAAAUGUUUGCUAAGGAAAAAAAUUUGUGGAUCUUGUUCUUCGAAAUGGUACAUUGGCCGAGGACCUGACUAAGACCGGCAGUAGUUUCCAGUCUGAGCAAAGAGUGAGUGGAGGCGCCGAAAGAGUCCAAACAGAGACACUCCGUAGAGAUUUCCAAGAAGCAUC